RNAcentral lists this ribosomal RNA (450 nucleotides) under uncultured bacterium. RNAcentral's name for it is "bacterial SSU rRNA". It matches the Rfam family "Bacterial small subunit ribosomal RNA", at positions 771 to 1205 of the family's 1533-position model. The record is from RNAcentral.
ACCCAAUAGAUACCCAGGUAGUCUACGCCGUAAACGAUGCGCACUAGGUUCGAGAUCCUCUGACGGAAACUCGAGCCGAAAACAAAAAAGCGAUAAGUGCGCCGCCUGGGGAGUACGGCCGCAAGGCUAAAACUCAAAGGAAUUGACGGGGGCGUCACACAAGCGGUGGAGCAUGUGGAUCAAUUCGAAGCAACGCGAAGAACCUUACCUGGGUUUGACAUGCACGGAUGGUCUCGGGGAAACUCGAGUAAUCUGCCUUCGGGUGAAACGUGCACAGGUGCUGCAUGGCUGUCGUCAGCUCGUGCUGUGAAGUGUCGGGUUUAAGUUCCCUUAACCGAGCGAACCCUUACUCGCUAGUUGCCAGCGGGUCAUGCCGGGAACUCUAGUGAGACUGCCGGCGUUAAGCCGGAGGAAGGCGGGGUACGGACGUCAAGUCAUCAUGGCCGUUUA